UACGUUCCCAGGCAUGUAGCUGGCAACAGCCUCAGGCCUCCCUCCCUUCCUUGCCCCACCUCCCAAAGCUUUCCCUGCCACCCCUCCUUCUUUCCUCCACUGCCCCCCCUCUUACUGGCUGCCUCUCUCCCUCCCUCUUUCCCUCGCAGUCUUAAUGACUUCCACAUGGGCUUCUGGCAUUCUGAGCAUUGUCUGAAAUCUCCAAAUUUAGAAGAAAUAUGAAAAUUGUCAAGCACGCCUUCCUUAGGGGGUAAAACCAACAUUCGCUUGAACUGUCGCAGGUCAAGGCAGCGGGACCACGUGGCCAGGCCCCAGCCAAUGGCUGCCCUCAGGACCACUGACAGAUGAGGCCGUCAGCCGUGCAGCAUCGUCUUUCAGCUCAUAUAAGGUAAAAGUAAAAGGUUUUCCAGAUUCUGAGCAGUGAGGGAAAAGUUUUCACCCAGGACCCCUUGUGCUAGCAGCUUAAAAAAGGAGUGUCCACACUGGUCUUCCAGUGUGGCCCUCUGUGUUUCGCAGAGAGGAGAUGGCGCCCACCUUCCCCAUCCUCACCAAGGGCCUAGUGCAUGACAGGUGUGGGCAAGAACAGGAUUGGCUACUUGGGGAAGCAGUCACACGUCUGAGGACUGGAAGCCUUGCAAAGGACAAUGGACAGCCCAUCUUGAGGAAGAGUCGCAGAUGGCAAGCUAGCUCAGGACGCUAGUCCAUAGCAAGACUGUGACUGGUGUCAGUCCAUCAAAACCUAGUUUCAGCCAAUUUUGCUUCUCUUUUAAAAUGAGCGUGAGGUCACGAUAUCAUUGUGAGUGUGAUGAUGGUAAUGAUGUUAUUGGUCCAAUAUGUUACACUGCCCAACCUUGCCAUAAACAAUCCUAGGAA
Molecule: long non-coding RNA, 873 nt
Organism: Lacerta agilis (Sand lizard)
Lineage: Eukaryota; Metazoa; Chordata; Lepidosauria; Squamata; Lacertidae
Exons: 2
Source: RefSeq, a predicted model, not a curated record